This 279-nucleotide ribosomal RNA is filed under the name uncultured bacterium. RNAcentral describes it as "partial 16S ribosomal RNA". It matches the Rfam family "Bacterial small subunit ribosomal RNA", at positions 506 to 784 of the family's 1533-position model. The record is from RNAcentral.
UGCCAGCAGCCGCGGUAAGACGGAGGGCGCAAGCGUUGUUCGGAAUCACUGGGCAUAAAGAGCACGUAGGCUGUCAGUUAAGUCGGGUGUGAAAGCCCUCGGCCCAACCGAGGAACUGCAUUCGAUACUGGCUGACUCGAGGACAGGAGGGGUGAGUGGAACUCCAGGUGGAACGGUGAAAUGUGUAGAUAUCUGGAGGAACACCGGUGGCGAAAGCGGCUCACUGGCCUGUCUCUGACGCUGAGGUGCGAAAGCUAGGGUAGCGAACGGGAUUAGAUA